Gorilla gorilla gorilla (western lowland gorilla) is the source of this 438-nucleotide long non-coding RNA. RefSeq lists it as uncharacterized. The record is from RefSeq and is a predicted model, not a curated record. Lineage: Eukaryota; Metazoa; Chordata; Mammalia; Primates; Hominidae. The transcript is spliced from 4 exons.
UCCCCAAAGCGGGCCAGCAAAAUGAGUCAGUAAGAAGUAGAACUUCCAUUCAGGGACAGAAGUCCUGGGAAGUUUCCACGUAUACUCAAGAGGCGCAGGCUAAUGAUAAGAGUGUAUCAGCUUGAGAGUGCAAGAGAGGAGAUGGAGCAAGAUGGAAGAAUAGAAGAAGACUCUACUGCUUGUCCCCCUGACAAGGACACCAAUGGCACAAAAAAGCACCUUUGUAAGAAACAAAAAUCAGUUUAACAUCUGGAAGGGAUGAAGACAAGUCAGCUUUGUGGCGAUCAACAAUGUCCACAGUACUGGCAACCAAUGCUCAGGUGCCCUUGGCCCUUCCUGACUGCCUUAUGAAAAAAUCAAGUACCAUCCAAAUAACUGACACAACGAACCUGAGAGAAAUAAAACUACUGGGAAGAUUAUUGAGCUCCUCCUCCAACG